UACGUAGGGUGCAAGCGUUGUCCGGAAUUAUUGGGCGUAAAGAGCGCGUAGGCGGUUCGUUAAGUCGGCUGUGAAAACCUGAGGCUCAACCUCAGGCCUGCAGUCGAUACGGGCGGACUCGAGUUCGGCAGGGGAGACUGGAAUUCCUGGUGUAGCGGUGAAAUGCGCAGAUAUUAGGAGGAACACCGGUGGCGAAGGCGGGUCUCUGGGCCGAUACUGACGCUGAGGAGCGAAAGCGUGGGGAGCGAACAGG
Molecule: ribosomal RNA, 253 nt
Filed under: uncultured bacterium
Lineage: Bacteria
Description: partial 16S ribosomal RNA
Rfam family: Bacterial small subunit ribosomal RNA
Source: RNAcentral